UACGUAGGGGGCAAGCAUUGUCCGGAAUCAUUGGGCGUAAAGCGCGUGUAGGCGGUUCAGUAAGUCUGCUGUGAAAGUCCAGGGCUCAACCCUGGGAUGCCGGUGGAUACUGCUGGACUAGAGUGCGGAAGAGGCGAGUGGAAUUCCCGGUGUAGCGGUGAAAUGCGCAGAUAUCGGGAGGAACACCUAUGGCGAAGGCAGCUCGCUGGGACGUUACUGACGCUGAGACGCGAAAGCGUGGGGAGCAAACAGG
Molecule: ribosomal RNA, 253 nt
Filed under: uncultured bacterium
Lineage: Bacteria
Description: partial 16S ribosomal RNA
Rfam family: Bacterial small subunit ribosomal RNA
Source: RNAcentral